Molecule: ribosomal RNA, 523 nt
Filed under: uncultured bacterium
Lineage: Bacteria
Description: bacterial SSU rRNA
Rfam family: Bacterial small subunit ribosomal RNA
Source: RNAcentral
AGAGUUUGAUCCUGGCUCAGAUUGAACGCUGGCGGUAGGCUUAACACAUGCAAGUCGAGCGGAAACGAUGUAGCUCGCUACAGGCGUCGAGCGGCGGACGGGUGAGUAACGCGUAGGAAUCUGCCUAGUAGUGGGGGACAACCUGUGGAAACGCAGGCUAAUACCGCAUAAGCCCUGAGGGGGAAAGGAGGGGAUCUUCGGACCUUUCGCUAUUAGAUGAGCCUGCGUGAGAUUAGCUAGUUGGUGAGGUAAAGGCUCACCAAGGCGACGAUCUCUAGCUGGUCUGAGAGGAUGAUCAGCCACACUGGGACUGAGACACGGCCCAGACUCCUACGGGAGGCAGCAGUGGGGAAUAUUGGACAAUGGGCGCAAGCCUGAUCCAGCCAUACCGCGUGUGUGAAGAAGGCCCUAGGGUUGUAAAGCACUUUCAGAAGGGAGGAAAGGUUAGUGAUUAAUACUUACUAGCUGUGACGUUACCUUCAGAAGAAGCACCGGCUAACUCUGUGCCAGCAGCCGCGGUAAU